UACAUAAAUAAAAGGCCGAAAAAGAAAGGGUGCAGUUUUAACUCGAAAGCUAGACAGGUCUUUUGUCAAAUUUUCCCUACUCUCUUCACACGUCUCUCAUACCUCUGAGGAUAACAUUUAUAAAAUCUUUAACUAGCAGCUUUGGUAUUACUUGGUCCUGGUUAAGAGAGUUGUUCCUAUCCACAACUUGUGUUUAAUUCCAAGAGAAAAUCUUCAAAUGAAGUCCACAUGCAGUGUUCUAUUGGACUUGGAGGCAGAAAGAAAAAACUCUUCCUCUUCCUUGGAAUCAAAACUUUUGUUCUGCAACGGAGGGAGUACUGAUCUCGGGUCACAAAUUUCCAAACUUAAUCCAAUUGUCAAGAAGCCUGAUAUCUCUUCAACUUCCCAGAGCCAAGUUCUAGACAAGGUCAAGAAUUUCCUGGGAGAGCUAUCAGAAGCGAAUAAAAAGCUAGAGGUUGAUGCAAAGGAAAAUCCUAAAUGAUAUAGAAGAACUCAGUGGGGAGGAUUCAGAAUACAUAGAAAAUUUAAUCUUGGGUGUUGCAGAGCUUUAUUCCUCUGAGGCUGUUGCUGCUGCUGAGUCUGCAAUAGCUCGUCAGCAAUCAGUUAUUCCAUUAGCUUCAAGUAGUAGCGCGACUUCUGAAGAUAGCCAUGAUGUUGAUGACAGUAGCGAUGAAGAUGAUUGUUGAGCUUUCAUUGGACUAUUGGUCCUUGGAGAAUUAGAUGUCUACUGUUUAGUUUCAAGAAAUUAUUUGUGGCAUGUUGUUACUGUUUUGAUCGUGCUCAAAUGUGAUGCAAACCUUAGAAUU
This is a long non-coding RNA of Lycium barbarum (goji berry), 806 nucleotides long. RefSeq lists it as uncharacterized. The record is from RefSeq and is a predicted model, not a curated record. The transcript is spliced from 2 exons. NCBI's taxonomy places the organism in Eukaryota, Viridiplantae, Streptophyta, Magnoliopsida, Solanales, Solanaceae.